RNAcentral lists this ribosomal RNA (742 nucleotides) under uncultured bacterium. Its description in RNAcentral is "bacterial SSU rRNA". It matches the Rfam family "Bacterial small subunit ribosomal RNA", at positions 8 to 798 of the family's 1533-position model. The record is from RNAcentral.
AGAGUUUGAUCCUGGCUCAGAGCGAACGCUGGCGGCAGGCCUAAUACAUGCAAGUCGAACGGCUCUUCGGAGCAGUGGCGGACGGGUGAGUAACGCGUGGGAACGUGCCCUUUGGUUCGGAACAACACAGGGAAACUUGUGCUAAUACCGAAUGUGCCCUUCGGGGGAAAGAUUUAUCGCCAUUGGAGCGGCCCGCGUUGGAUUAGCUAGUUGGUGGGGUAAAGGCCCACCAAGGCUACGAUCCAUAGCUGGUCUGAGAGGAUGAUCAGCCACACUGGGACUGAGACACGGCCCAGACUCCUACGGGAGGCAGCAGUAGGGAAUCUUGCGCAAUGGGCGAAAGCCUGACGCAGCCAUGACGCGUGAAUGAUGAAGGUCUUAGGAUUGUAAAAUUCUUUCACCGGGGAAGAUAAUGACGGUACCCGGAGAAGAAGCCCCGGCUAACUUCGUGCCAGCAGCCGCGGUAAUACGAAGGGGGCUAGCGUUGCUCGGAAUUACUGGGCGUAAAGGGCGCGUAGGCGGACAUUUAAGUCAGAGGUGAAAGCCCAGGGCUCAACCUUGGAAUUGCCUUUGAUACUGGAUGUCUUGAGUUCGGGAGAGGUGAGUGGAAUGCCGAGUGUAGAGGUGAAAUUCGUAGAUAUUCGGCGGAACACCAGUGGCGAAGGCGACUCACUGGCCCGAUACUGACGCUGAGGCGCGAAAGCGUGGGGAGCAAACAGGAUUAGAUACCCCGGUAGUCCAA